GACGAACGCUGGCGGCGUGCUUAACACAUGCAAGUCGAACGGAAAGGCCCUGCUUUUGUGGGGUGCUCGAGUGGCGAACGGGUGAGUAACACGUGAGUAACCUGCCCUUGACUUUGGGAUAACUUCAGGAAACUGGGGCUAAUACCGGAUAGGAGCUCCUGCUGCAUGGUGGGGGUUGGAAAGGUUCGGCGGUUGGGGAUGGACUCGCGGCUUAUCAGCUUGUUGGUGGGGUAGUGACUUACCAAGGCUUUGACGGGUAGGUGGCCUGAGAGGGUGACCGGCCACAUUGGGACUGAGAUACGGCACAGACUCCUACGGGAGGCAGCAGUGGGGAAUAUUGCACAAUGGGCGGAAGCCUGAUGCAGCAACGCCGCGUGCGGGAUGACGGCCUUCGGGUUGUAAACCGCUUUCGCCUGUGACGAAGCGUGAGUGACGGUAAUGGGUAAAGAAGCACCGGCUAACUACGUGCCAGCAGCCGCGGUAA
Molecule: ribosomal RNA, 484 nt
Filed under: uncultured bacterium
Lineage: Bacteria
Description: partial 16S ribosomal RNA
Rfam family: Bacterial small subunit ribosomal RNA
Source: RNAcentral